GACGAACGCUGGCGGCGUGCUUAACACAUGCAAGUCGAACGGAAAGGCCCUUCGGGGUACUCGAGUGGCGAACGGGUGAGUAACACGUGGGUGAUCUGCCCUGCACUUUGGGAUAAGCCUGGGAAACUGGGUCUAAUACCGAAUAUGAUCAUCGGCUUCAUGGUCGGUGGCGGAAAGCUUUUGCGGUGUGGGAUGGGCCCGCGGCCCAUCAGCUUGUUGGUGGGGUAAUGGCCUACCAAGGCGACGACGGGUAGCCGGCCUGUGAGGGUGACCGGCCACACUGGGACUGAGAUACGGCCCAUACUCCUACGGGAGGCAGCAGUGGGGAAUAUUGCACAAUGGGCGCAAGCCUGAUGCAGCGACGCCGCGUGAGGGAUGACGGCCUUCGGUUUGUAAACCUCUUUCAGCACAGACGAAGCGCAAGUGACGGUAUGUGCAGAAGAAGGACCGGCCAGCUACGUG
This 462-nucleotide ribosomal RNA is filed under the name uncultured bacterium. RNAcentral describes it as "partial 16S ribosomal RNA". It matches the Rfam family "Bacterial small subunit ribosomal RNA", at positions 28 to 507 of the family's 1533-position model. The record is from RNAcentral.